Molecule: long non-coding RNA, 1357 nt
Organism: Gambusia affinis (western mosquitofish)
Lineage: Eukaryota; Metazoa; Chordata; Actinopteri; Cyprinodontiformes; Poeciliidae
Exons: 4
Source: RefSeq, a predicted model, not a curated record
UUUCACAAUUUUUAUAAUCUACAUGAGAAGCCACAAUGGGCGUUUCUUCUUGAAACUUAUGAAAGGUGGCAACCCCAGUUACACACUCCAUGUUAUAGAAUAUCAGUUAGCAUCUAUGAUGGAUCAAUAGUGUGAUUCUGUUGUGUUCAUUGCAGCUCGGCUGCUUGCUUUUAACAUGGGUUUAAUUCACCACUUCAUGAUAAUUUUACUCUUUCACCAGAGUCAUCUGGCGGGCUGAUGAGUUUAAACUUAAAUGGCUUUGUGUUCUUUGUUAUUGUGUUUAACAUUGCUUUGUCACUGUUGAUUAUUCAGGCCUGUGCAUGAGGGGACAGAAACCAGGAGCUCCAAAAUUAACCUGAAUUGGAGCUUGUCUGAACUGAACAACUUUGUGUGUCAAAGCUACCCACACAUCAGCCUAAAUCUGGUUGGCUUUGAACUGGCAAGAGCUGGAAAAGGACGAAAGGAAACCUGUCAACCUCAGCAAUGUCCAGGAGUUUGUUUGCAGAACCCUCAACUGCACCAGAAGUACAGGACGUCUCUCCAGAGGUUGAGAGAGUGCCAACAGACAACAUUUGGAGGAAGAGCAGAUUGGCGAUCUCUGUGGUCCCAGCAAGACGAAGAGUAUGAAGAGUCUUUUUUAGCAGACCAAGAAAAUAAGGAGAAUUGCAGUCCCAUUACCCUUGGAAUGAUACUGGAGUUUGCUUCUGGAGCAUCCACGGUACCUCCACUGGGCUUUCCCCAUCGUCCACAAAUUGAAUUCCUCCAUGAGGCUAACAGAGUCUUCCCAGAAGCAAAUACUUGCCUGAUAGUACUCUGCCUUCCUGUACACCCAGACUAUGAGUCUUUCACAAAGUACAUGACAGACGGGGUGCUGCAGGGACCUACCUUUGGUGUUGCAUAAUCAGCUAAUAACUGUAAUAAGCAUUUCUUUUAAAAUAGAGUUGGAAUGUUUUGAAAAGUUAAGUAUUUUAAAGCAAGUUAUAGUAAAGGUAAUGUAAUGGCCGAAAUAUUGGAAUGUAAAUACAAUAUUGGCUUCUCUUGUUUUUUGCAAAGAAUAGGAGUCUUUUUAACCACUUUUUGGUUUCACAAUUUAAAGGUGUACAUUUAAGCCACACUGCAAAUCAAAAGGUCUCUGGUAAUGAACACUGCUCAAUUGCUCUCCAGAAUGUGUAAUUAAUUUGUCAUAUCUUUAAACACCUUAACAUUUAUAAUUAAAUCUGAAAGGUUACCUACUCAUGUCAAUUCCGAGUUUUAUUUGUAGUAAUUGUAUCUUUAGAACAAUGCAUUUGAUCAAAUGUUCUGUGACAUGUAUUUAAAUCAAUAAAGCAUUUGCAGUUUCUGCACAACAGGCCUGGUA